This 229-nucleotide long non-coding RNA is filed under the name Elaeis guineensis (African oil palm). RNAcentral describes it as "long non-coding RNA (EGUI_LNC070624)". The record is from RNAcentral. Lineage: Eukaryota; Viridiplantae; Streptophyta; Magnoliopsida; Arecales; Arecaceae.
UGCGCUCUAUUCUCUUUUUUUUCAUCUUAUUUUUAAUUUACUAUGGUAUUCUUUAAACUGUUACAUAUCAUGCUGUUUCCAUAUCAAUUGAUAUCAGAGCUGAGAUCAUGCAGAGCAAUUUAAUCUUGUAGUACAAUCCGAGAUGGCAGGAAAUAAUUCAACCAAGUUCGAGAUCCCUUGGUUUAAUGGGACAAACUUUGCACUGUGAAAGCUGAAGAUGCAUGUGGUG